Molecule: ribosomal RNA, 563 nt
Filed under: Meyerozyma guilliermondii
Lineage: Eukaryota; Fungi; Ascomycota; Pichiomycetes; Serinales; Debaryomycetaceae
Description: partial large subunit ribosomal RNA
Rfam family: Eukaryotic large subunit ribosomal RNA
Source: RNAcentral
AGCGGCGAGUGAAGCGGCAAAAGCUCAAAUUUGAAAUCUGGCGCCUUCGGUGUCCGAGUUGUAAUUUGAAGAUUGUAACCUUGGGGUUGGCUCUUGUCUAUGUUUCUUGGAACAGGACGUCACAGAGGGUGAGAAUCCCGUGCGAUGAGAUGCCCAAUCCUAUGUAAGGUGCUUUCGAAGAGUCGAGUUGUUUGGGAAUGCAGCUCUAAGUGGGUGGUAAAUUCCAUCUAAAGCUAAAUAUUGGCGAGAGACCGAUAGCGAACAAGUACAGUGAUGGAAAGAUGAAAAGAACUUUGAAAAGAGAGUGAAAAAGUACGUGAAAUUGUUGAAAGGGAAGGGUUUGAGAUCAGACUCGAUAUUUUGUGAGCCUUGCCUUCGUGGCGGGGUGACCCGCAGCUUAUCGGGCCAGCAUCGGUUUGGGCGGUAGGAUAAUGGCGUAGGAAUGUGACUUUACUUCGGUGAAGUGUUAUAGCCUGCGUUGAUGCUGCCUGCCUAGACCGAGGACUGCGAUUUUAUCAAGGAUGCUGGCAUAAUGAUCCCAAACCGCCCGUCUUGAACCACGG